This 218-nucleotide RNase MRP RNA is filed under the name Gambierdiscus australes. Its description in RNAcentral is "partial RNase MRP". It matches the Rfam family "RNase MRP", at positions 22 to 257 of the family's 266-position model. Rfam says of the family: RNase MRP is an enzymatically active ribonucleoprotein with two distinct roles in eukaryotes. In mitochondria it plays a direct role in the initiation of mitochondrial DNA replication. In the nucleus it is involved in precursor rRNA processing, where it cleaves the internal transcribed spacer 1 between 18S and 5.8S rRNAs. Lineage: Eukaryota; Dinophyceae; Gonyaulacales; Pyrocystaceae. The record is from RNAcentral.
UUGCAGCGCACAUACGGGGAGCCCACUCCCACCAGGCUGCAUGGAAAGUCCCCGUGCCUAAGUGUGGAGAGUACCAGCGGGAGACCGCAGGGGUCUGGCUUUUGCGCUUGCGGUGAAGCUGCGUGUGGAGCUGAAGUGCAAAGCUGGGACCGUUUGCAUCAGCACAGCCAUGUCGUGAGCACCCGAAUGGGGGUGCCAACAGAACGGGGCUUACUCUG